GACGAACCGAGCGAACGUUAUUCGGAAUCACUGGGCUUAAAGGGCGCGUAGGCGGGCCGUCAAGUCAGGGGUGAAAGCCCCCAGCUCAACUGGGGAAGUGCCUCUGAUACUGGCGGCCUCGAGCGAGGUAGGGGCGUGCGGAACUUCCGGUGGAGCGGUGAAAUGCGUAGAGAUCGGAAAGAACACCAACGGCGAAAGCACUCUGCUGGGCCGACACUGACACUGAGAGACGAAAGCUAGGGGAGCGAAUGGG
Molecule: ribosomal RNA, 253 nt
Filed under: uncultured bacterium
Lineage: Bacteria
Description: partial 16S ribosomal RNA
Rfam family: Bacterial small subunit ribosomal RNA
Source: RNAcentral